RNAcentral lists this ribosomal RNA (529 nucleotides) under uncultured bacterium. Its description in RNAcentral is "bacterial SSU rRNA". It matches the Rfam family "Bacterial small subunit ribosomal RNA", at positions 355 to 896 of the family's 1533-position model. The record is from RNAcentral.
CAAGGAAUUUUCCGCAAUGGGCGAAAGCCUGACGGAGCAACGCCGCGUGCAGGAGGACGGCCUUCGGGUUGUAAACUGCUUUUACCGGGGACGAAACGGACGGUACCCGGCGAAUAAGCCCCGGCUAACUCCGUGCCAGCAGCCGCGGUAAGACGGAGGGGGCAAGCGUUGUCCGGACUCACUGGGCGUAAAGAGCACGUAGGCGGCAGGAUGCGUCGGCGCUGAAAGCGCCCGGCUUAACCGGGCGAGGUGCGUCGAUACGAUCCCGCUCGAGGCAGUCAGAGGUUAGCGAAAUUCCGGGUGUAGUUGUGAAAUGCGUAGAUAUCCGGAGGAACAUCUGUGGCGAAGGCGGCUAACUGGGACUGACCUGACGCUGAGGUGCGAAAGCGUGGGGAGCGAACCGGAUUAGAUACCCGGGUAGUCCACGCCGUAAACGAUGUCGGCUCGGUGUUUGGGAAUGAUGUACCAUUCCUGAGUGCCUCAGUAUACACGGUAAGCCGACCGCCUGGGGACUACGAGCGCAAGCUUA